AUGAAGCCUAGUGAAGAAUCUGGGCAUUGGUGCUUGAUUGUUCUGAAUUUGAGGUUUCGUCGUUUCGAGUGUCUUGAUUCACCCCGCGAUGAAACCUGGAGUGAUGCAGUUACAUUCUUAAGGACUAUGACAGAUAACAUAAAGAAGCUUUGGAGGGAGUCUAGCAUAGACAAGGCCAAACCAUUCUCGCCAGUGCAUAUUGAUGGUUUCUCUUGCGAGUUUGUGCGGGUGCCGCAGGAGAGAAACACCCACAAAGACAUUCUUGACAUUAGGAAUACUUUGCUAUAUACUUGGGCAACUAGCAAUGUGUUUGAUGUUGACUUCCGGGGUUUGUUUGGCAUCGAACCCUGUGAGUGGAUGGAUCUUGGUGAGCAUGACUACAUGAUCUCUGGCAGCCAGUUCUCGGAGCUCGAGCCGUGUUAUGAAGGGGCGGUUGGGAGCUUUGAAAGGUUCUAUGGCUGCUUGUGCAGAGAGCCCCUCUACACCCAAGAAUCCCAUUGUGGAAUUGAUAUACAGCGGUGA
RNAcentral lists this ribosomal RNA (522 nucleotides) under Triticum aestivum (bread wheat). RNAcentral's name for it is "partial small subunit ribosomal RNA". Lineage: Eukaryota; Viridiplantae; Streptophyta; Magnoliopsida; Poales; Poaceae. The record is from RNAcentral.